UCUGUUGUUCAAGUCUGUUCAUCUAUAAAUAGGAUAUCCAUCUCUUUUUGAAUCGUACAUAUAAUCACUUAACCUUAGAUUUCUGUGGUCAAAUACUUUUGAGAUAAUUAAUGGCUGUUUUUGCAACCAAGCAUCUGCUUCUUGUGGCUUUUUUCUUGCUUUGCUUCAUCUCAACCACUACCGAUCAAGCAAGAAAGUUACAUUCCCCAAGUCUUGCAAGUCUAGGAAACGACGACGUUGCAAGAGAAGAAGAGCUGCAAGAGUUGGCUAUAAUUGAUUACACUCCAGCAAGAAAGAAGACUCCCAUUCACAACUAGAGUACGUACUUGUUCCAAUAUUAAUUUCAUACAACUAUACAUAAUUUGAUAUAUAAUUAGCUAGAGCGCUCUAAGCUUUGCUUGUGAGGUUCUCUUUCUAUACUGAAGACUACUUAACAAAGAAAGAGAACAUAUAUAUAUAUAUAUAGCUAAGCUAGAUUGGCAUCUAGGGUUUGGAGGUGAAAUCAGAAUUCCAAAGGAUUUGUUUAUAAUUCAGCUGUAUAAUGAAGCAGAAAACUUGAGCCUUUCGCUUCAGAAACAUUGUAAUUAAGUGGAUGUGCCUAUCAUUCAUGUAAAGCUUCUUAAUUAUAUAUACACUAUUGUAAUAUUAAUUGGUUAUGUUUUCUUGUUA
Long non-coding RNA from Salvia miltiorrhiza (redroot sage), 669 nucleotides. RefSeq lists it as uncharacterized. The record is from RefSeq and is a predicted model, not a curated record. The transcript is spliced from 2 exons. Lineage: Eukaryota; Viridiplantae; Streptophyta; Magnoliopsida; Lamiales; Lamiaceae.